AACAUCGAGAAGGAGAGGGAACGAUGACUACAAACAAGAUGGCCUUCUCCCCCGACCCGACCUCCUUCCCAGGCGCUCACACGCCCUCCUGUCCACAACCCUCCGCGUGUGUGGUACCUGACGGGAGUCGCAGUCCAUCUGCUGCCUUCCCGCUGCCAUUUCUACUCGUCAGGAACAAUGGAAAGGUGAAAAGGAAAGAGGACUACAAGCAAGAUGGCGGAAGAGGGACAUACACCUGACUAGUAGUCGAUCUUACGAGGUGCGAUGGGAUUAGUAGUUUUCUAGCCUUCUAGUGUUCCUUAAGAAUGGCGGAACCAAGAGGACGAGGAGACUACCGUAAAGAUGGCAGGCUACCUAACCUCUCCCGGUCUCCGCUUUCCACCACCUUGGGCACCUCGCCCGCCUGUGGUCUCGAAAUCCCCCCCACCAGUGGCGCACGGCCUGACGGGAGUUGCAGUCUCCCGGCUCCCGUUUAUCAUCUCAAGUCGAGACAAUGGAAGGGGAUGGGGCGGGGCCACCGGCAAAGAUGGCGGCUGCAGGGCCGGGGCGACUGCGACAUGGGAUGUGUAGUCCAGGCGUCUGGCCUCUUCCCUGCGGAAAUGAGGGAGAGGACUACGAAAAAGAUGGCGACCUCGCCCCUCGACCUCUGCGCCGGUGCCUGCUGGGAAAUGUAGUUCCUUGCCGAGCCCAACAGAGAAAGGACGUCGCUGUUGAAAUGUGAAUCCCGGCGGACACGCCAAAUUGCCAGGCGACGGAAACGGAAAGACUCUUUUCUCCUCUCUCCGCCACCGGCUUCUGAAUAGCCUGGCGGGAAAUGUAGUCCCAAGCUUUCACUCGCGAGUGGAGGGGAAGGAUUUAUGUCACCAGUGGGGAUCAGUGCGGGUGGGGGAGAAAAACGUCGGGCGAUCCGGGAAUAAAGAAUGUCCGCCUCUCCAUGGGGCGAGGACUUUGCGUUUCAGGGGAGGGCCCUUAAAGGAAGGCAGCAGGAAUCAGUCUUGUCGAACAGGGGGGCGUGGUUCUCGUCCAGAGUGUAUUCACACUCUUGUUCCCUAGAAAGCCUGGGCACCUCCCACUCGAUUCCUGCUCCUCAGACCUCCGGGAAUCAGUGUCUUACAAGACGUGCGGGCUCCGGGGAAAAGGACCUGGAGUCACAGCGAAUCCCCGCCCCGCCCCGGGAAGCCACCAAACCUUGCUUUUUCUCAUCUGCAAAAUGGGGACAAUGGGGAUAAUGAUCCCCACCUCGAAGCACAGUUGUGAGUGUUAAACAAGCCAAUAUUCUUGUCACCAAAGUGCCCAAUUCUGGCACGGGGCACGCGGUGGUAGAUCCCUUUCUAAGGUCCCUUCCUGCCCAGCCGUUCUGGGAGCCCAGGAAUCCAUGAUGCCGGACAGAGUUAGCUCCUGUGAGAAGAAAACUGACCCGCAGGCUCCUCCCAGAUUGAACCGACCCCCGCCCCUCCUCAUCGGGGUCCUCCAGCGUCUGUUACCGAGCACUGCUCCCAGGGGGCGCUCAAUCUCCAUUCGACUGAAGUACUACAAACACGAUUUCCGCAACCUGGAGUUGGAGGCAUUGCAGGCUGUCUAGUCUCAUCCCCUGCCUGAUAUCCAGUCAGCCUUGGAGGCCUCUGCCUAGACACUUCAACUGCCUAUGCAAAUGGAACGGCUUCUCAUCUUUCUGCCGUUUUUUGUUUUUUUGUGUGUGUUUUAAGGUCUUGCUCUGUCACUUGGGUUGGAGUGCAGUUGCAGGAUCAUAGUUUGCUGCAGCCUCGACCUCCUGGGCUUAAGCAAUCCUCCUCCCUCAGCCUUGUGAAUACCUGGGACUUCAGGCACGCGCCACCACACCCAGCUAAUUUUUAAACUAUAAUUUUUUUUUGUUCAGACGAAGUCUCGCUAUGUUGCCCAGGCUGGUCUUGAACUCCUGGCCACAAGUGUGCCUCCCGCCUUGGCCUCCCUAAGUGUUGGGAUUAUAGGUGUGAGCCAGCAGCCAUACCCCUCUUCUCAAUCUUCCUUCUCCCCUGGAAAACCUGCUCACUUCUGACCCCAAGACAGCCCCCUCCCCUUCCCUCUGUCUUCUGUGUUUGGCAGACCAGCCCCAGCGAGGACUUGUUGGUUGUGGUUUUUCUAUCAGGGAAGUCAAUCGCUGGCCAGUGUAGUGUGAAGUCCCAGCUUGGCAGAGACUUGCCCAAGGCUGGAUAGGAGGCUCCUUUGCAGCUCAGGCUUUAUCAGUCAGGAAAUCCUUAGCCCUCCCUAGAGGAUUGGCUGUCCCCUCUAUCCUCACUGCUUGAAUUUGGUGUUGCAUGAUUGAUUUCUACCCUGUUCCCUCUGCUUGAGGGCUAUCCUCCCCAUGCCCAUCUCACUUCUCCACCAAGUUCACUGUUCAUCAUUUACAGGUCUCUAUUUAUGUAUUUAUUAUUUAUUUUUCUACUUUCCCACUUUUCUAAAAGGUCUCUAUUUAAAUGCCACUGUCAAUCCCAGCACUUUGGGAGGCCUAGGCGGGCGGAUCAUGAAGUCAAGAGUUCGAGACCAGCAAUGGCCAGUAUGGUGAAACCCUGUCUCUCCUAAAAAUACAAAAAUUAGCCGGGCAUGGUGGCAUGUGCCUGUAAUCCCACCUACUCGAGAGGCUGAGGCAGCAGAAUUGCUUGAACCCGGGAGGUGGAGGUUACAGUGAGCUGAGAUCGUGCCACUGCACUCCAUCCUGGACGACAGAGUGAGACUCUGUCUCCAAUCAAUCAAUCAAUCAAUCAAUCACUGUCCUGGCCAGUUGCAGUGGCUCACGCCUAUAAUCCCAACACUUCGGGAGGCCAAGGUGAGAGGAUAACUUGAAACUAGGAGUUCAAGACCAGCCAAGGCAACAUAGUGAGGCCCCAUCUUUACAAAAAUACAAAAAUUAGCUGGACGUGUAGUCCCAGCUACUUAGGAGGCUGAGGGGCAAGGAUUGCUUGAGGCCAAGAGAUUGAGCCUGCAGUGAGCUAUGACGAUGCCACUCGCUGCAUUCAAGUCUAGGUGACAGAGCAAGACCCUGCUCCUGGACAUACUACUAAGUGCUUUCAGCAUUUCAUGUGGUCCUCAUAAAAAUCUUGAGGGCCGGGCAUGGUGGCUCACGUCUGUAAUCUCAGCACUUGGGAGGCCAAGGCAGGUGGGUCACCUGGGGUCAGGAGUUCGAGACCAGCCUGACCAAUAUGGUGAAACCCCAUCUCUACUAAAAAUAGAAAAAUUAGCCAGGUGUAGUGGUGUGCACCUGUAGUCCCAGCUCUUCUGGAGGCUGAGAAAAGAGAAUUGUUUGAACCUGGAAGGCGGAGGUUGCAGUGAGCCAAGAUCACAACACUGCACUGCUGCCUGGGCAACAGCGAGACUCUAUCUCAAAAAAACAAAAACAAAAACAAAAAAACCCACACAACCUUAUGAGGUAGAAUUCCAUUUUAGAGACGAGGAAACUGGGACCCUCAACUAUGCAGAAUGGAUGAGUGGUACCGCCAAAAUUCAAACCCCAGAUUCCCGAACUCAUGCUCAGAACUAUUACAACAUGCAGAAACAACAAAUCCAGUCAUGUGUGCAUUUAAUUUGGCAUAGCAACAACAACACAUUUCUCAGGCAAAAUGGAUUUCCAGCUUCUCUUGAAAAAUCCUGAAAUCUAGUCCAGGACCGUGGAUUGUAUUUAAAAAAAUAAAAAUAGAAGAAGAAAAGGCCGGGCAUGGUGGCUCAUGCCUGUAAUCCCAACACUUUGGGAGGCUAAGGCAGCUGGAUCACUUGAGGCCAGGAGUUCAAGACCAGCCUGGCAAACAUGGGGAAACCCCGUCUCUACUAAAAAUACAAAAAUUAGCUGGGCAUGGUGGCGUGCACCUGUAGUCCCAGCUACUCAGGAUCCUGAGGCAUGAGAAUUGCUUGAACCUGGGAGGCAGAGGCUGCAGUGAGCCAAGACAAUGCCACUACACUCCAGCCUGGACAACAGAGCGAGACUCAGUCUC
This 3962-nucleotide non-coding RNA is filed under the name Pan troglodytes (chimpanzee). Lineage: Eukaryota; Metazoa; Chordata; Mammalia; Primates; Hominidae. The record is from RNAcentral.